UACAGAGGUCUCAAGCGUUGUUCGGAUUCAUUGGGCGUAAAGGGCGUGUAGGUGGCGCGCUAAGUCGGGUGUGAAAUUUCGGAGCUUAACUCCGAAACUGCAUUCGAUACUGGCGUGCUUGAGGACUGGAGAGGAGACUGGAAUUCAUGGUGUAGCAGUGAAAUGCGUAGAGAUCAUGAGGAAGACCAGUGGCGAAGGCGGGUCUCUGGACAGUCCCUGACACUGAGACACGAAAGCCAGGGGAGCAAACGGG
This 253-nucleotide ribosomal RNA is filed under the name uncultured bacterium. Its description in RNAcentral is "partial 16S ribosomal RNA". It matches the Rfam family "Bacterial small subunit ribosomal RNA", at positions 524 to 776 of the family's 1533-position model. The record is from RNAcentral.